UCGGGAAUUUUGGACAAUGGGGGCAACCCUGAUCCAGCAAUGCCGCGUGAGUGAAGAAGGCCUUCGGGUUGUAAAGCUCUUUUGUCAGGGAAGAAACGGUAGUAGCGAAUAACUACUACUAAUGACGGUACCUGAAGAAUAAGCACCGGCUAACUACGUGCCAGCAGCCGCGGUAAUACGUAGGGUGCAAGCGUUAAUCGGAAUUACUGGGCGUAAAGCGUGCGCAGGCGGUUGUGUAAGUCAGAUGUGAAAUCCCCGGGCUCAACCUGGGAAUUGCAUUUGAGACUGCACGGCUAGAGUGUGUCAGAGGGGGGUAGAAUUCCACGUGUAGCAGUGAAAUGCGUAGAUAUGUGGAGGAAUACCGAUGGCGAAGGCAGCCCCCUGGGAUAACACUGACGCUCAUGCACGAAAGCGUGGGGAGCAAACAGGAUUAGAUACCCCCGUAGUCCCUGAGCGGGCUGGCAAG
RNAcentral lists this ribosomal RNA (466 nucleotides) under uncultured bacterium. Its description in RNAcentral is "bacterial SSU rRNA". It matches the Rfam family "Bacterial small subunit ribosomal RNA", at positions 355 to 819 of the family's 1533-position model. The record is from RNAcentral.